Long non-coding RNA from Anser brachyrhynchus (Pink-footed goose), 1994 nucleotides. The record is from Ensembl. Lineage: Eukaryota; Metazoa; Chordata; Aves; Anseriformes; Anatidae.
AUUCGUCCUCUGGUAACUGUAAAACCAAGAGAAAAACAGGAGUGUGCAUGCUUAUACUUUCCAGAACACGCUGAUCCAACACGCAGAGCCAAAGCUGGGUGCACACAUCCCCUCCCCACUUGGUGUCUGCCACCAAAGUUUUCAGUAAAAGUCUUUUUUUGGGGACACCGAUGGCUUGGAGCGCUGUGAGAUUGUCCAGCCCUGGCCUCGCCACCCCAGCCAAGCACCGCUCCUUUAACUCCUCUCCACCCAGCACUCUGGUUCGGGUUGUUAUCUCAGGGUGAGUAAUUAAUUCUCCUGAACAUCAGCAGCUGGUCCUGGGUGGGAGCCGUGCUGGGGAGAGCUGCGGCAGAGCAGAGGGCUGGGUUAUAAGAUGCGAGAACACCUGUCCUUGCCUCUCCUUUUCUCCCUAAAAUCUAUAAAGUGGGAGAGGGGAGGGCAGUGCCUGGGGUCCUUGCCCAGGGAAGGUGCUGUGGGUGAGACUGCUUCUCCCCUUUUAUAAGCUCCUGGCCUCGUCUCAGCUGCAUUGGACUGCACGAUGAAUGAUCUGUCCAAGGCUUCCUGGCGGCUGGGGGCAAAUCCAGGCGAGACGACUCUGGGCUCCAGGAGGGCUGCCUUGGUGAAGCAGGCUCUGCCCGGCGCAGCGAGCGAGGAGAGGGGUGCAGACCCAGCAUGUGCACGCAUCCAGCCCCACAUGUGUUUGGCUCGAGCUCUCCAGGUGUUCUCAGACUUCUCUGCCACAUGUUUUUUGGAGCCUCCCUUCUGGUACCCGUGGCCUCCUGGCAAUCUCACAGGAGCCUUGUCCGAGUCACCUGAGCUCCUGGUGUCCUCCAUGAGCAUGCCCCCAAAGAAGCAGUUUGGCCAAAUGGAGCCUGAGCAUCGGUGCAUGAGGAGCCUGCAGGUAGUGGUGGAAGCACAGCUCUGGGUGUCUCCUUCUCCUAUACUGGCCAAGGGAAAAGAAAAACAACUCCAAAAUAUAUAUAUAAAUAAAUAAAAAGUGCAGAUAUGAUGACUGAAUUUGGCCUGGCUGCAGGGUGGAUUGAAGCCCUCAGAACCACAUCCCUAUCUCUCCAGCUCUGAGCUUCAAGUUUUUGAGUACUGGUACCUGGCAUGAUAUACGGAGAAAGCAGAAAUCCAGUGUAUCAAGAAGAGCGUCCCCAGGAUAGCUGCCUUUGCCAAUGUGGGGGCAAGAUGGGGGACACAACACCCAUUUUUUUUAUAGGGAAGGGGGUCGCUGCCAUCCUGGCUACCCACCAUGAAGGGUCUCCUUCCACCAAGCUUAUCAUGGUGCUGGGGAGGAGGAACAUGGGAGCUCGCUGAGCCGGACACGGCUCCCUCCCUGCCUGGCGGAGGCGCGGGGUCACUCCGUGGUGCUCCCAUCAGGGAGGAAGCCUUCCCGUGCCCCGGCAAACCCCUAGUGAAAGACAAUCAGGCUCGCUGUCACCGAGCUAAUUCCGACGGCAUAAAAGCAGUAAUGAAAUUCACGGCAGGAUUAGCCUCUCCAUCCAAUGGGCCGGCGCCACGGUGACAUAUCGUGCUUCUUGCCCGAAUGUAACACACCAUCUAAUUUACGUCGUGUAGCGAGCGGGAAUGAAAUGUUCAUAAAGAAUUGCUGAAUCUUGUCACCUUAACUGCGGCCCCGGGCUCUGAGGCAUCUGUCAGGGAGAGGAGAGCGGAGAAGGAGGCUCCUGCCUCGCAAAGCUGCGGCCGGUGCUUUGGGAAAGGGGCGAUGGCUGCAUCAAUCUUCUGGGUCUGCGCGGCGGAGACGCAGUGCGUGGGGACGAGGGAUUUGGGAUGGAGGCAGCCAGGCUGCAGGAUGGGGCUGUGCACAUGUACGUGUGGUGCUGGGUCGGGGCUGUCGGACUGUCUCCCCCACAACCAUGUGCCUGGGAUGCAGGAGAAGGGACCUGUGGGGUGGGAGUCAGCAUUCCUGGAGAGCCCAGUGCUGGCAGCAAGGUGCACAUUCCCAGUUUCCAUGCUGCACCCUAUGCAGG